CGAAUGCUGACAUGAGCAGCGUUAAAGGGGGUGAAAAGCCCCCUCGCCGUAAGCGCAAGGUUUUCUACGCAACGUUCAUCGGCGUAGAGUGAGUCGGCCCCUAAGGCGAGGCAGAGAUGCGUAGCUGAUGGGAAACAGGUCAAUAUUCCUGUACCGAUGUGUAGUGCGAUGUGGGGACGGAGAAGGUUAACUCAGCCAACUGUUGGAUAUGUUGGUUCAAGCUUGUAGUCGUGCCUGGUAGGUAAAUCCGCCGGGCUUAGAUGAGGAGUGAUAACGAGUCUGCUUGCAGACGAAGUGAGUGAUACCCUGCUUCCAGGAAAAGCCACUAAGCUUCAGCUACACACGACCGUACCGCAAACCGACACUGGUGCGCGAGAUGAGUAUUCUAAGGCGCUUGAGAGAACUCAGGAGAAGGAACUCGGCAAAUUGACACCGUAACUUCGGAAGAAGGUGUGCCUUUAGUAGGUGAACCAUUUACUUGGGGAGCCCAAUGAGGCUGCAAAAAAUCGGUGGCUGCAACUGUUUAUUAAAAACACAGCACUCUGCUAAGACGAAAGUCGACGUAUAGGGUGUGACGCCUGCCCGGUGCUGGAAGAUUAAAUGAUGGGGUGCAAGCUCUUGAUUGAAGUCCCAGUAAACGGCGGCCGUAACAAUAACGGUCCUAAGGUAGCGAAAUUCCUUGUCGGGUAAGUUCCGACCUGCACGAAUGGCGUAAUGAUGGCCACACUGUCUCCUCCUGAGACUCAGCGAAGUUGAAAUGUUUGUGAUGAUGCAAUCUCCCCGCGGAAAGACGGAAAGACCCCAUGAACCUUUACUGUAGCUUUGUAUUGGACUUUGAACAGAUCUGUGUAGGAUAGGUGGGAGGCUUUGAAGUGUGGUCGCUAGAUCGCAUGGAGCCAACGUUGAAAUACCACCCUGGUGUGUUUGAGGUUCUAACCUAGGUCCAUUAUCUGGAUCGGGGACAGUGCAUGGUAGGCAGUUUGACUGGGGCGGUCUCCUCCCAAAGUGUAACGGAGGAGUUCGAAGGUACGCUAGGUACGGUCGGACAUCGUGCUAAUAGUGCAAUGGCAUAAGCGUGCUUAACUGCGAGACUGACAAGUCGAGCAGAUGCGAAAGCAGGACAUAGUGAUCCGGUGGUUCUGUAUGGAAGGGCCAUCGCUCAACGGAUAAAAGGUACUCUGGGGAUAACAGGCUGAUACCGCCCAAGAGUUCAUAUCGACGGCGGUGUUUGGCACCUCGAUGUCGGCUCAUCUCAUCCUGGGGCUGUAGCCGGUCCCAAGGGUAUGGCUGUUCGCCAUUUAAAGAGGUACGUGAGCUGGGUUUAAAACGUCGUGAGACAGUUUGGUCCCUAUCUUCCGUGGGCGCUGCAGAUUUGAGGAAGCCUGCUCCUAGUACGAGAGGACCGGAGUGGACGAACCUCUGGUGUAUCGGUUGUCACGCCAGUGGCAUUGCCGAGUAGCUAAGUUCGGAAGAGAUAACCGCUGAAAGCAUCUAAGCGGGAAACUCGUUUCAAGAUUAGAUCUGCCGGGGCCUUGAGCCCCCUAAAGAGUCGUUCAAGACCAGGACGUUGAUAGGUCAGGUGUGGAAGC
RNAcentral lists this ribosomal RNA (1589 nucleotides) under metagenome. RNAcentral describes it as "bacterial LSU rRNA". It matches the Rfam family "Bacterial large subunit ribosomal RNA", at positions 1291 to 2874 of the family's 2925-position model. The record is from RNAcentral.